GUGAGGAAUCUUCCACAAUGGGCGAAAGCCUGAUGGAGCAACGCCGCGUGAAGGAUGAAGGUCUUCGGAUUGUAAACUUCUUUUAUGAGUGAAGAAUAUGACGGUAACUCAUGAAUAAGCACCGGCUAACUACGUGCCAGCAGCCGCGGUCAUACGUAGGGUGCAAGCAUUAUCCGGAGUGACUGGGCGUAAAGAGUUGCGUAGGCGGUUAUGUAAGCGAAUAGUGAAACCUGGUGGCUCAACCACACAGACUAUUAUUCGAACUGCAUAACUCGAGAAUGGUAGAGGUAACAGGAAUUUCUUGUGUAGGAGUGAAAUCCGUAGAUAUAAGAAGGAACACCAAUGGCGUAGGCAGGUUACUGGGCCAUUUCUGACGCUAAGGCACGAAAGCGUGGGGAGCGAACCGGAUUAGAAACCCCUGUAGUCC
This 427-nucleotide ribosomal RNA is filed under the name uncultured bacterium. RNAcentral describes it as "partial 16S ribosomal RNA". It matches the Rfam family "Bacterial small subunit ribosomal RNA", at positions 354 to 796 of the family's 1533-position model. The record is from RNAcentral.